Molecule: ribosomal RNA, 468 nt
Filed under: uncultured bacterium
Lineage: Bacteria
Description: partial 16S ribosomal RNA
Rfam family: Bacterial small subunit ribosomal RNA
Source: RNAcentral
GACGAACGCUGGCGGCGUGCUUAACACAUGCAAGUCGAACGGAAAGGCCCUGCUUUUGUGGGGUGCUCGAGUGGCGAACGGGUGAGUAACACGUGAGUAACCUGCCCUUGACUUUGGGAUAACUUCAGGAAACUGGGGCUAAUACCGGAUAGGAGCUCCUGCUGCAUGGUGGGGGUUGGAAAGUUUCGGCGGUUGGGGAUGGACUCGCGGCUUAUCAGCUUGUUGGUGGGGUAGUGGCUUACCAAGGCUUUGACGGGUAGCCGGCCUGAGAGGGUGACCGGCCACCUUGGGAAUGAGAUACGGCCCAGAAUCCUACGGGAGGCAGCAGUGGGGAAUAUUGCACAAUGGGCGGAAGCCUGAUGCAGCAACGCCGCGUGCGGGAUGAAGGCCUUCGGGUUGUAAACCGCUUUCGCCUGUGACGAAGCGUGAGUGACGGUAAUGGGUAAAGAAGCACCGGCUAACUACGUG